This is a long non-coding RNA of Neopelma chrysocephalum (saffron-crested tyrant-manakin), 5189 nucleotides long. RefSeq lists it as uncharacterized. The transcript is spliced from 3 exons. NCBI's taxonomy places the organism in Eukaryota, Metazoa, Chordata, Aves, Passeriformes, Pipridae. The record is from RefSeq and is a predicted model, not a curated record.
AGCGGGCGGCGGGGGCUUGGGGGGAGGUGUCGGGAGUGGCGGGCGGCGGGGUGGGAGGGGGAGGAGGAGGGACUCAGGUGGAGUUGCGUAACGGGGGCUCCGGGUUGGGGGAGUGGACGCCGCUGAAGGAAGGGGCCAUGCCCCACCGGCGGGGCGGGGGCCAGCUGCGCGUCGCGCUCCGCCCCGCCCUGCCUUGGGCGCGGCGCACUUGGCACAAGCAGCAAAUAAUGGCUUCGGGGAGCGCGGACGGUGCUGGCUGGGGUGGCUCCGAGGCGACGGGGGUCGGGCGGCCCGUUAACGCCGGGGCGAGGGGCUUCCUCCUUCCCCCCCUUUCCCCUGUUGGUUCGGCCCGUCCCGCCCCUCCCGAGCCCGUGACAGGUGGAGCGGCACCCGACGCGCGCGCACGCGCCCCCGCCCGCGGCCGUCACGUGGCGCCGCGCGCGCCUCGCGCGAGACUCGCGGCGCGAGGGGUCUCGCGAUGCCUCGGCGGCCCCGGGGCGUGAGGGCGGGGAAGGGCCCGGCCCGGGCUUGGAGCGGCGGGAAAGGCGCGAGGGAGGGAAGGGGAGAGGAAAGCCUGGGAAUUCGGGCUUCUGGGGACGCCUCGCGCGUGAGUAAAGUCCUGCCUGUACCUCCCGCCCCUGGCAGCUCUGAUGGUGUCCAUUCAUGUGUAUUCCAAACAUGGACUGCUUUCAUUUGUGGGAAUAGUCUUGGAAGAAGGAGACUGAGACCUACCAGAGCACUUCAUUUGGCCCCCUCCCAGCCACCCCGUAUCCUGUGAUCCAGGCAGGGAAUAACAAUCACCUGCACGAACAGUUCUCCCAAGAGCAGCGUGCUCGGAGCGUUGCCUUUCCUGACUGUCCUCAUCACGCGGCACAACGUGGGUCCAAAAUUUGGAUCCCAAAUCUGUGGCACGUGUGCAGACAAACUUCAAGGCAGUCAUCCCAGCACAGAGUCAGCUUUUGCCAUGGGAGCAAGCUUGGAUACUGCUGGCAUGGCAGUGUCUCAAAUUCCUGAGGAAAAAAUAGGAAUUACCUGCAACAGUUAAUGCAGGGAGAAGCAGGGCGGGUACUGCACGAGGAGUUUCUCAAAGUCUUUCUGUCAGCACCACCUUUUGCUUUCAUAUGAUUUUGCAUGUUAUAGUCUGGGGCACAAUCCUUGAACAAAACAACAACAACUCUUUUUCCAUUUAAAGAAAGUCUGGAUAGAAUAGUCCUCCAGCAGGUUAUUGGGGCAGACUUUCAUUCCUGUACAUAUGAGAAACGUGUGGGAAUAGAGGUAACCAGCCAGCCUGUAUCCCAGACUGAUGCCUGAAGCUUCCAUUGUUUAUUUUUUCACAUCAAUAACAAUAUUGUAAAAAUAACUUUUCAGCUGAACCUAUUUACACAGUCUCAGAUGGCUCUUGUUCUUUUUGUCCUUCCUUGGCCACCCUCCACAGCCUUGUAAUGGAAAUCCCUGCACAGUUCUCUGCUCAGCCUUUGGAUAUCUAACUCUUUUUAGGGGAGAUGCGUGUGCUCCACAAGUGUGUUUUUCCAGGAUUCUUCCUUGUCACACUGUAAAAUUGAUGCAAAGCACGUCCUGCCAUUUUUCUAAGCAGAGGGAGAAAUCGUGUCAUUCCCCACAACAGGCUCUUCAUUGCCACUUGACCUGUCUCCAGUCCCCUGUUCAGUCCUAUCCACAGGUAACCUCUCUUUUUAAUGGAAAGUGUUUCAGCUUAGAAAAAGGCAGGUAAUGUCUGUGUUUCUCGUGUGGGUUUUUGCCCUCACUUUACUUCAAUUUGUACUUCAAUAACAAAGCAACUGAAUAUAAUAUAUAAAAAUCCAUUUGUUUUCUGAAAUUAAGUGAACUUCAUCCAAGCUCAAAAUCCUGACAGUCACUUUUAACAUUUGGAAGAUUUUGCAAGCACACGCUGCAAAAAAUAUUUUGACAUCUAGGCUGUCAGAUAAUCUGUCAGCAACAGUUAUAUCAUUCAGGGAGAGAACUGUUAAUUUCCAGAGUAAUUUAUUUGGAAAAUAAUGCAUUUACUGCAGUGAAAUAUCCUACUGGAUGCUAGAAAAGCUACUUAGCAUUUGUGCAGGCAGAGUAGUUGGCUUCAGAACGUGGGUUAUUCUCUUGUGACAAAAACACAGGAAAAGAAAUUCUUGCCAGGAACCAUCAGUGAAGAGCAGGUACCUGCAAAGGGCAGGAUGGUCACAGACGUGCAGGAAGUGUUAGGAACUCUGUGCAGGAGGAUGUAAUGCCUGGAGAAAAGGGGAGGAGUGCUCAGGGUCACACUCUUUACAGAAUAGGCUCAUGGGGCACAAUGGAUCAUACACCAAAUGCUUUACUUGGAAUAAUCUUUAAAAGCCAGGGAAGUUCUCAGCACUGUGGUGCUGUGCCCAGAAAAAACCCCCAAAAAAUCUUCCAAUUCUGCUUCAGUUUUCUCUGUCCAUUUGUUUUUCCAUUACAAAUCGGUCUUGUUUCUGUAGGAAAAUGUCAGAGCGUUACGUGUAAUGAUGGUGAUGACCAUCCCCAAAGGGCUCAGAGGACUAAAGCCCAGGUCUUGUCUGCUUGUGCUGUUGGAUGGUGUCAGUCUGAGGCUGCAUCAUGUUUCAUCUGGCAUAAUUUGUGUCCCAUCCUGAUUUACACCUAAAAUUUAAGUUAUAACUGUGAUUUCUUGUAAAGAAAAUAUGUGCUUUUUUCAUGCAUUUUACUGUGUAAUUAACAAACAGUAAAUUUGUUACCCUGCUUGUUGUGCUUUUGUUGGCAGUGACGGCAACAAAAGCCGUGAUUUUGCAGGAAUAAGCAAGACCAUGUCAUGGAGGAAGAUUGGCAACUUUAAAGAUUAUUCAGCACUUGAAAGGUAUUUGCAACAUGGGCAAUCUCAGCUUUCAAAUUCUUCUUAACUCUGUCCCUGUCUAAUUACUCAACCAAGUCUCAUUGGCACUUACUUUUCAUUGAUGGUUAAUGCCAUUCUCAGAGCUCUGUCAAGCUGCUUCUUCCAGAGGCUUUUUUUCUGUGCUCCCCCUGAUGCAGGAGAUGUUUUCUCUUUUCAGACAGACAAAGCCAUUAGAUCAAGUUGAUGAAUUUUACUCUGAGUUUCCCGUGUUCUGAGUCACUUUUAGAAAUUGCAAAACAAAAUGUAUAAGACACCCCCUCUUAGACUGUUAGACCUUACCUCAUCUACAUCAACCUUUUAUUCUGUUGCCAUUUUCAGUGGAAAGACAACCUAACAAAUUAUUGUGGGAACUUCUGUGUUUUAUCAUUUUCAUUUAACUUCAGUGAAACUAAAAAAUUAUAAACUCUUGCCAUAUUCGUCUUUAUCCUCCUUAUUUGUCCUUAUGCAUUCUUUUUUUUCUGAGGCAAAUCAGAAGAGAGAGAAAAAAAAGGGUGAGGGUAAAAAGAGGAAAGAGUAAAAGAAGAACAAAACAAAGGAGAAAAAAAAAGUUUUUAUACUUAUUCUUGGAAUUUUUCAACUUGAGAAAAUACCCUAUUUAAAGGGUUUACAGUUAUUUCGUACAGAAUAACAGUAGUUUUGUCUUUCUUAAAAAUUCUCUGCCAUUUCUACUGUAAAUUAGCAAAGCUCCACCCAGGUCAAUUGAGGACAAGUUGCACAAACUUUAGCCACUGUAUUAGCCCACAUUUAAUAUGUUUUAAAAUACUUCAUCCGAGUUGACAAGAUGCACAUAUGGUUUCUGAGUUAUGGAUUGAAGGGCUGUAGCUUUUAGUCUUCCUCUCUGUCUCCUCACUGUCAUAUUUCACUCACAAUCUUACUGCAUCAGACUUGGAUUAUCAACCUUUUUUUGUCCAUAAACCAUCCAGCAUAUUAAUGUUUUGCAUAAAUUAUAAGAAAUUUAAUCCAAAACCAACUAAAAAAUAUUAUUUUGCAAAAUCACAGCAAAUUUUAAAACUGAGCAGUCCAAGCUUUUCGGAAUGUAUUGCGGAUGUUGUCGUGAUUUAUGUGCUGUCAGUUAUUUUUGUAUAUGUUGAAAAAAACCUGACAAGUUUCCAUCUCACAUUUCAUAAAUCCGGGUUUUCUGUAUACAAAGCACGUGUCAGAAAUCAGUAUCUAAACAACAUGCCAGUUGGCUUCUCCAUGUGGCAGCUUGUAAACAAAAAUAUUUGGGGACUGCGCAUUUGUGACAUGACAUGUAAUGCGAUGUAUAAACACCAGCUAUUGGGAAAUAUCCUGUUCCUCUGCAUUGCUAAUAAAAUGAUAAAUCAGGCUCACACUGCUGCAUCACAGUUCAGCAGGUGGAACUUUCCAAAUUCAGGUGGUUCUGUUGGUUUUUUUUCCAAAUAGGUGUACAGGGAGGUUAAAUACUUUAUUAGUGACCUAUCUGUGCAUCAGAGGGCUACGUCAAAACUGACGUGGUGUUUUGUGCAUUUGUCUUUAAGUUACUUGGAUUCUUUUUUUCCCCAUAUUAAUCGUGUUUUGGUCAGAGACAAAUUCUGGUUGUACUGAAAUCAGUGAAGGAUUUUCCACCAACUUCCAUGGGAUCAGGAAUCAGCUGUCAGAGGACAGGGGAAUUACCAGGGCAAACCGUGCCAGCUGUUCACACCGUGCAGGUUCCAAGAUGUGAAUCAGCCUCCACGAGAUUUCAACUCGAUAUGAUGAGAACACAAAAUACUGCAAAGUAUUUCAUUCCAUGAAAGCCAAAACAAACAGGACAAGUCUUGUGGAGAAGAUGUAAAGACACAUUAUUACAACUUCCCAGUAUAAAUGCAGCCAGAAAAGGCUAAAGCAAAUCAUGUUUAAGGAAUAAAAGGUUGAGCAGGAUAUAGGAAAACUAGAGUGAACUAAAAGUAGUUGUUAUCUGACUGGAUGCUGUUUAAAUGAUCAUUGCAGCACAGAGGGCUGAGGAUCAUCAACAGGCCUAACAUUAGUACAUCACAAAGUGCAGGACAUGAAAGUAAUUUAAAACUCCCAAGAAUUUUUAUUAUUAGUCAAUGAUGCAGGUUCUUUUAACAUUUUAUCCACUUUUUGAUUGUUGUCAAGCAGGCAAAUAAACAUUCAUAGGAUCCUCUAUAAAAUAUGAUUUCUUUUUGUUCUUUUGCUGCUACAUCUAGUUAAAUAGUCUGGCAUUUCUGUUCAUGUGUCUUGUUAUGUUUUCUGCCACAUCCAUUUUUGCAAAAUCAGACACCAAAUAAGGAAAAAACAAUUAAUGAACUGUGCAAUAGGUAAGUAGCUUCCUAGUGUUGUGACAAGGGGG